UACGUAGGGGGCUAGCGUUGUCCGGAUUUAUUGGGCGUAAAGAGCGUGUAGGCGGCCAGGUAGGUCUGGUGUGAAAACUCGAGGCUUAACCUCGAGAUGUCAUCGGAAACCAUCUGGCUAGAGUCCGGAAGAGGAAAGUGGAAUUCCUGGUGUAGCGGUGAAAUGCGCAGAUAUCAGGAAGAACACCAAUGGCGAAAGCAGCUUUCUGGGACGGUACUGACGCUGAGACGCGAAAGCGUGGGGAGCGAACAGG
RNAcentral lists this ribosomal RNA (253 nucleotides) under uncultured bacterium. Its description in RNAcentral is "partial 16S ribosomal RNA". It matches the Rfam family "Bacterial small subunit ribosomal RNA", at positions 524 to 776 of the family's 1533-position model. RNAcentral also lists the same sequence under 1 other name. The record is from RNAcentral.